ACCUUAGAGACCAACUAAGUAAGUUAUUGGUAUGAGCUUUUGUGUGCAUGCACACUUCUUCAGAUACCAAGUGUGCAUGCACACGAAAGCUCAUACCAAUAACUAACUUAGUUGGUCUCUAAGGU
This 125-nucleotide microRNA precursor is filed under the name Podarcis lilfordi (Lilford's wall lizard). Lineage: Eukaryota; Metazoa; Chordata; Lepidosauria; Squamata; Lacertidae. The record is from RNAcentral.